Molecule: long non-coding RNA, 538 nt
Organism: Armigeres subalbatus
Lineage: Eukaryota; Metazoa; Arthropoda; Insecta; Diptera; Culicidae
Exons: 3
Source: RefSeq, a predicted model, not a curated record
GUGAAGAGAUGAAAAUAAUGAAACUGUAUGGUGCAGAAAGUGUUUUUUUCAUUGUAGUUUCUGCUGCUGGGAAAGUGGUAGAUCACUAUGGCUUCUGUACCGUGAAAUGAAGCUUAUGAUAAAUAAAAUUCUGCUGCUUGCUGGUCACUGAUUGAAGAUCGUUCAGUGGCUACCAUUGGCCAAUCUCACCUACGGGAUAUAAUAAGAACUGAUGCAGGUUUAUAUCUAUAUGUAUUGUCUAUUCGAAACAAAGUUAGUACGCUUUUUAAACCGAUGUUGGAUUUUUCUCCAGAUACAGGCAACCCACUUAACUUUGGAAGUAGUGCGCUGGAUUCGUCUAAAGAUAUGCUAAACAACCGGAGGAAAAUAAAAUAAUUUGUAAAACAAUUAAUUGUAUUGUAUUUUUAUUGUAAUAUUGGAGUAUAAUGUAUUCUAAAUCCUGUUGUAUUUCUAUUGUAAAACAAUAGAAACAGUAAUUGAAAACAUUUAAAACACAAUGUUUUCUAUUGUUUUGUCGUUCGAAAUCAUCCCAUUGAAG